GUUAGGAAUAUUGGACAAUGGACGCAAGUCUGAUCCAGCCAUGCCGCGUGAGUGAUGAAGGCCUUCGGGUUGUAAAGCUCUUUAGCCGAUGAUUAUAAUGACUGUAGUCGGAAAAUAAGCCCCGGCUAACUUCGUGCCAGCAGCCGCGGUAAUACGAAGGGGGCGAGCGUUAUUCGGAAUCACUGGGCGUAAAGCGUGCGUAGGCGGUUUUGUAAGUUGGGAGUGAAAGCCCAGGGCUCAACCCUGGAAUUGCUCUCAAAACUACAAGACUUGAAUUCGGGAGAGGAUAGCGGAAUUGUCAGUGUAGCAGUGAAAUGCGUAGAUAUUGACAGGAACACCAGUGGCGUAAGCGGCUAUCUGGACCGACAUUGACGCUGAGGCACGAAAGCGUGGGGAUCAAACAGGAUUAGAAACCCCGGUAGUCC
RNAcentral lists this ribosomal RNA (425 nucleotides) under uncultured bacterium. RNAcentral describes it as "partial 16S ribosomal RNA". It matches the Rfam family "Bacterial small subunit ribosomal RNA", at positions 354 to 796 of the family's 1533-position model. The record is from RNAcentral.